RNAcentral lists this long non-coding RNA (484 nucleotides) under Anas platyrhynchos platyrhynchos (common mallard). Its description in RNAcentral is "lncRNA (ENSAPLG00000025868.1)". The record is from RNAcentral. Lineage: Eukaryota; Metazoa; Chordata; Aves; Anseriformes; Anatidae.
GCUGAAAACUUUCUUUGUAGACCCUGACAUCUGGCUUCUCUGACUGCCAAGCCUGGCCUCCUCCAAGGUGCCACAGGAGAUGCGUCGGUGUGGCAGAAUUUCUGCGGUAAAAGUCCCCACAGCAUCACAUGGAGCUCCUGAACAUCACUGAACCAUUCCACUUCACUGGCUGCACUUCAGGAGGCAGAGUUGCCCUUGCUGACCUGUGACCAGAAUUAAUUAGAGCUGUUCAGAGUUGCUCUUUGACUUGACUUUCUGUGACUGUGUUGUUGACACUGCACUAGAAGCAGAAAAACAGAUUGUUGUAAAAGGAACUCCAGAAAUGACCUGACAUCAGAAUCACAAUUUCCUGUGUCACAGCCUCCUGAAAUUAGGACCAGUGCAAUAGUCCAUGUUUUUGCUGAAAUGUCAUCUAGAAGAUUCACAGUUCCUCUGAAAGACUUAGAAAAAGUGACCUACAAAAACAGAUAAGAUCUGAACCGGA